UGUAGUUGUUGCUGGUUGUCUCGUGGCUUUGGAGAUUUUGGAUGUGGGCACAACAAUGAGAGUCUCCACGACGGUGCUAACAUCCAACAUUACCACGUGCCAACUUCCCACUGUCCCAACCUUCCGGAAGUAGAAGGGAGAGGGAUUGGCAUUUCUAGCACGACAGAAGGGAUCACGUGAUGUCGUCUGAACGUCGUCUCUACCUAACAUAAUUUACUUUGUCUUGUACAGUUAUCGGUCGACGAGUCCGGCUGCUGUCAAGAAGAGAUCAAUGCAGCUGCUGCAGCAAUAGAAGUGCGUGCAUGAUGAACUGACUCACGAGCGACUACGUAACGAUCUGUCAGCAAAAGUUGGAAGGAUCACUGUGACAUGGUCAAACUGCAGAAGUGGAUAUAUUAUCAAAGACUUACCAAUCGACCAGUUCUGGAACGUCUUUGAAGGUCUCUCUGCUCAAAUGGUCAACGAUCAAGGCGAACCCAUGUUACUCUGUUACUCAAGCUGAAGAUUUGGAGAUUUUAUGGAAAACGUUUCUUUGACAGAAUACACACGACGAGACUGUUGGCUAAAUCUUGCAGCCAGACUUCCGGAUCGAAUUGUGAAGCCUGACGCUCAGCAGCGUACCCAAUGGAAGGAACGACCAAUCUACAUCUCGACAUGUCUGAUGCAGUGAAUGUCAUGGUGUAUGUUGGCAUUCCACGCUCAAGUGAGUCAUCAGUCGACGAGUCCAGAUGCUGUCAAGAAGAGAUCAAUGCAGCUGCAGCAGCGAUUGAAGAGUUCGACGAACUGACUCACGAAUGACUAAGGAACGAUCUGUCAGCGAAAGUGGUAAAAGUCGAUUUCUUUUUCUCACUAGAGAGUGUCACACAGAGUGUUUUUACGAAAUUGAUUUUUUUUGUAUUCAUGAG
This is a long non-coding RNA of Corticium candelabrum, 905 nucleotides long. RefSeq lists it as uncharacterized. NCBI's taxonomy places the organism in Eukaryota, Metazoa, Porifera, Homoscleromorpha, Homosclerophorida, Plakinidae. The record is from RefSeq and is a predicted model, not a curated record. The transcript has 10 exons.